UGCUCAGGACGAACGCUGGCGGCGUGCCUAAUACAUGCAAGUGGGACGCAAGGGGACACACUGUGCUUGCACACCGUGUUUUCUUGAGUCGCGAACGGGUGAGUAACGCGUAGGUAACCUGCCUAUUAGCGGGGGAUAACUAUUGGAAACGAUAGCUAAUACCGCAUAAUAUUAAUUAUUGCAUGAUAAUUGAUUGAAAGAUGCAAGCGCAUCACUAGUAGAUGGACCUGCGUUGUAUUAGCUAGUUGGUAAGGUAAGAGCUUACCAAGGCGACGAUACAUAGCCGACCUGAGAGGGUGAUCGGCCACACUGGGACUGAGACACGGCCCAGACUCCUACGGGAGGCAGCAGUAGGGAAUCUUCGGCAAUGGACGAAAGUCUGACCGAGCAACGCCGCGUGAGUGAAGAAGGUUUUCGGAUCGUAAAGCUCUGUUGUAAGUCAAGAACGUGUGUGAGAGUGGAAAGUUCACACAGUGACGGUAGCUUACCAGAAAGGGACGGCUAACUACGUGCCAGCAGCCGCGGUAAUACGUAGGUCCCGAGCGUUGUCCGGAUUUAUUGGGCGUAAAGGGAGCGCAGGCGGUCAGGAAAGUCUGGAGUAAAAGGCUAUGGCUCAACCAUAGUGUGCUCUGGAAACUGUCUGACUUGAGUGCAGAAGGGGAGAGUGGAAUUCCAUGUGUAGCGGUGAAAUGCGUAGAUAUAUGGAGGAACACCAGUGGCGAAAGCGGCUCUCUGGUCUGUCACUGACGCUGAGGCUCGAAAGCGUGGGUAGCGAACAGGAUUAGAUACCCUGGUAGUCCACGCCGUAAACGAUGAGUGCUAGGUGUUAGGCCCUUUCCGGGGCUUAGUGCCGGAGCUAACGCAAUAAGCACUCCGCCUGGGGAGUACGACCGCAAGGUUGAAACUCAAAGGAAUUGACGGGGGCCCGCACAAGCGGUGGAGCAUGUGGUUUAAUUCGAAGCAACGCGAAGAACCUUACCAGGUCUUGACAUCCCGAUGCUAUUCUUAGAGAUAGGAAGUUACUUCGGUACAUCGGAGACAGGUGGUGCAUGGUUGUCGUCAGCUCGUGUCGUGAGAUGUUGGGUUAAGUCCCGCAACGAGCGCAACCCUUAUUGUUAGUUGCCAUCAUUAAGUUGGGCACUCUAGCGAGACUGCCGGUAAUAAACCGGAGGAAGGUGGGGAUGACGUCAAAUCAUCAUGCCCCUUAUGACCUGGGCUACACACGUGCUACAAUGGUCGGUACAACGAGUUGCGAGCCGGUGACGGCAAGCUAAUCUCUGAAAGCCGAUCUCAGUUCGGAUUGGAGGCUGCAACUCGCCUCCAUGAAGUCGGAAUCGCUAGUAAUCGCGGAUCAGCACGCCGCGGUGAAUACGUUCCCGGGCCUUGUACACACCGCCCGUCACACCACGAGAGUUUGUAACACCCGAAGUCGGUGAGGUAACCUUUUAGGGGCCAGCCGCCUAAGGUGGGAUGGAUGAUUGGGGGUGAAGUCGUAACAAGGGUAACCGUAGAGUUUGAUCCUGGCUCAGGAAGUCGUAACAAGGUAUCCGUCGAGUAUUAUCCUGGCUCGGGAAGGUGGUUUCCCGGGGUCGG
This 1593-nucleotide ribosomal RNA is filed under the name Streptococcus mutans. RNAcentral describes it as "bacterial SSU rRNA". It matches the Rfam family "Bacterial small subunit ribosomal RNA". The record is from RNAcentral. Lineage: Bacteria; Bacillati; Bacillota; Bacilli; Lactobacillales; Streptococcaceae.